GGGAAUGCGAGCCGUCCGGGAUGCGAGCCGUCCGGGAUGCGAGCUGAGGCUGAGUUCGUCUGAGUUAGGAUCGGACUGUGAUCGUCUGUAGGCUGAGUUGAGACGGAUCGCGAGCUGGCUGCUAUCGGAUCAGGAACGCCUAGGACCGGGAUGCAAGAGACGCGAUCGAGGGUUAGGGUUUGUCGGGUCGCGGCUAGGGUUAGGGUUUUUCGAUUUUGGUUUUUGUUCAGAAUGUUUAGAGUUUCGUGCUGAUAACGUGUUAUAAAAGUAAUGGAAAAGU
RNAcentral lists this long non-coding RNA (280 nucleotides) under Brassica napus (rape). Its description in RNAcentral is "long non-coding RNA (BNAP_LNC011155)". Lineage: Eukaryota; Viridiplantae; Streptophyta; Magnoliopsida; Brassicales; Brassicaceae. The record is from RNAcentral.